Solanum pennellii is the source of this 592-nucleotide long non-coding RNA. RefSeq lists it as uncharacterized. The record is from RefSeq and is a predicted model, not a curated record. The transcript is spliced from 2 exons. NCBI's taxonomy places the organism in Eukaryota, Viridiplantae, Streptophyta, Magnoliopsida, Solanales, Solanaceae.
CAUUCUCUUCUUCUUCCUCCCUCUCUCUAUCUUCUUCUUCUCUCUCUUAACAGAUAAGUCUCCCUCUCUCUCGUUCCUCCAUUCUCUCCGGUGAGACGCCGCCUCUCCUUCUGUCUCUCCGCCUCCCUGACUCCCGUCACUCUACCUCUUUCUCCCUCUCUCUUUUCUCCCUUCUCCCCUUUCCUCUCCUCCAUUCUUCUUCUUUUCCUUUCUUCCUCGUCUGACCAGCAGCAGCCCGACGAGGACAGCCAACAGUCAAACAGCAACAACAACGAUCAACAGCAGUCAGGCCACUCCGGCCAGCAGCUGCGACCAACAGCCAGCAGCCCCGACGCCCGGCGAGCCUUUCCCAUCUUUUCUUUUUCUCCGAGAAGAAACAAACGGAGCAGGCUCCGACAGAAAUGGGAGCUAAAAUAGCGGAUAAGGUGGAUCUUUUUAGAUCCGUCCCAGGUUUUGGACUUAAAGUUCAAGAUGAUGAAGAGUGGCCUAGAAGAAAUUUUGGACAAAGUUUUGUUUAUUAUAAUGUUGUGUAUAUUUUCAUCUGUAUUUUUAUUGAUAUGUGUAUAAAUCUAAAGCAACUCUUGUAUAUGAA